GACGAACCGAGCGAACGUUGUUCGGAAUCACUGGGCUUAAAGGGCGCGUAGGCGGGUAUCCAAGUCUAUGGUGAAAUCCGGCAGCUUAACUGUCGAACUGCCGUGGAUACUGGGUAUCUCGAGGGAGGUAGGGGCGUGCGGAACUAUUGGUGGAGCGGUGAAAUGCGUUGAUAUCAAUAGGAACUCCGGUGGCGAAGGCGGCACGCUGGACCUCUUCUGACGCUGAGGCGCGAAAGCCAGGGGAGCAAACGGG
This 253-nucleotide ribosomal RNA is filed under the name uncultured bacterium. Its description in RNAcentral is "partial 16S ribosomal RNA". It matches the Rfam family "Bacterial small subunit ribosomal RNA", at positions 524 to 776 of the family's 1533-position model. The record is from RNAcentral.